RNAcentral lists this ribosomal RNA (407 nucleotides) under uncultured bacterium. RNAcentral's name for it is "partial 16S ribosomal RNA". It matches the Rfam family "Bacterial small subunit ribosomal RNA", at positions 28 to 526 of the family's 1533-position model. The record is from RNAcentral.
GACGAACGCUGGCGGCGUGCCUAAUACAUGCAAGUAGGACGCAGUUGCGAACGGGUGAGUAACGCGUCGGUCACUACCUAUUAGAGGGGGAUAACUAUUGGAAACGAUAGCUAAUACCGCAUACUAGUAGGUGGACCUGCGUUGUAUUAGCUAGUAGGUAGGGUAAUGGCCUGACUAGGCAACGAAAGAUAGCCGACCUGAGGUGGUGAGCGUGCAAACUGGGAAUGAGACACGGCCCAGGAGCCGACGGGAGGCAUGAGUAGGGUAACUUGGUCAAUGGGGGGAACCCUGAACGAGCAACGCCGCGGGAGUGAAGAAGGUUGUCGGAUCUUAAAGCUCUGUUGUGAAGGAAGCGGUACUUAACCAGAAAGGGACGGCUAACUCCGUGCCAGCAGCCGCGGUAAUAC